UCGAAGGUAGCAUAAUCAGUAGUCUUUUAAUUGAAGGCUUGUAUGAAUGGUUGGACGAGAUAUUAACUGUUUCAUUUAAAAUUUUUAUAAAACUUUAUUUUUUAGUUAAAAAGCUAAAAUUUUAUUAAAAGACGAGAAGACCCUAUAAAUCUUAAUAUUUAUAUUAUUUUAAUUAUAAAGAUUAUUUAAAUUAUAAUUUUUAUGAAUAUUUUAUUGGGGUGAUAUUAAAAUUUAAUAAACUUUUAAUUUUUAAAUACAUUAAUUUAUGAGUAAUUGAUCCGUUAUUAACGAUUAAAAAUUUAAGUUACUUUAGGGAUAACAGCGUAAUUUUUUUGGAGAGUUCAUAUCGAUAAAAAAGAUUGCGACCUCGAUGUUGGAUUAA
This 382-nucleotide ribosomal RNA is filed under the name Agathomyia lundbecki. RNAcentral's name for it is "partial 16S ribosomal RNA". Lineage: Eukaryota; Metazoa; Arthropoda; Insecta; Diptera; Platypezidae. The record is from RNAcentral.